AUGUACAAGUUCGGCUUUGUGAAUUGUGAUAUUGCUUCGGGGGCAUUUGCUCAUACUUUGUCUGGUCAUCGAGGUGUGUCGGUGUUCUCGUUUCAACUUCUAACUAACUGUUUUCUGUAUUAUUAUUUAUGCUGUGUGUUUCUUACAACAAGUGUUAGCUUAUAUUUUCAGUCAAGUUAUUUCAUAGUUAAUCUUAUAAGAGUAAAUAUCCUGUCUAAGAUGGUGCAGAUGAGGAUAAAUAUUUUUAAUUUAUUUAUGUAUAAUUUGGCCCCUUCAUAA
Molecule: non-coding RNA, 279 nt
Organism: Vicia faba (fava bean)
Lineage: Eukaryota; Viridiplantae; Streptophyta; Magnoliopsida; Fabales; Fabaceae
Source: the annotation of a GenBank genome assembly